This is a small nuclear RNA of Chlorocebus sabaeus (green monkey), 107 nucleotides long. NCBI's taxonomy places the organism in Eukaryota, Metazoa, Chordata, Mammalia, Primates, Cercopithecidae. The record is from Ensembl.
GUGCUUGCUCUGGCAGUACAUAUACUAAAAUUGGAAUGAUACAGAGAAGAUUAGCAUGGCCUAUGCACAAGGAUGAUAUGCAAAUUCUUGAAGCAUUCCAUAUUAAA